CCUACGGGAGGCAGCAGUGGGGAAUAUUGGGCAAUGGAGGGAACUCUGACCCAGCGACGCCGCGUGCGGGAUGAAGGCCUUCGGGUUGUAAACCGCUUUCAGCAAGGAAGAAGCGAAAGUGACGGUACUUGCAGAAGAAGCACCGGCUAACUAUGUGCCAGCAGCCGCGGUAAUACAUAGGGUGCAAGCGUUGUCCGGAAUUAUUGGGCGUAAAGAGCUCGUAGGUGGUUCGUCACGUCGGAUGUGAAAAUCUGGGGCUUAACCCCAGACCUGCAUUCGAUACGGGCGAGCUAGAGUGUGGUAGGGGAGACUGGAAUUCCACGUGUAGCAGUGAAAUGCGUAGAUAUGUGGAGGAAUACCGAUGGCGAAGGCAGCCCCCUGGGAUAACACUGACGCUCAUGCACGAAAGCGUGGGGAGCAAACAGGAUUAGAUACCCUGGUAGUCCACGCCCUAAACGAUGUCUACUAGUUGUCGGGUCUUAAUUGACUUGGUAACGCAGCUAACGCGUGAAGUAGACCGCCUGGGGAGUACGGUCGCAAGAUUAAAACUCAAAGGAAUUGACGG
RNAcentral lists this ribosomal RNA (565 nucleotides) under uncultured bacterium. RNAcentral's name for it is "bacterial SSU rRNA". It matches the Rfam family "Bacterial small subunit ribosomal RNA", at positions 338 to 916 of the family's 1533-position model. The record is from RNAcentral.